Molecule: long non-coding RNA, 220 nt
Filed under: Brassica rapa (field mustard)
Lineage: Eukaryota; Viridiplantae; Streptophyta; Magnoliopsida; Brassicales; Brassicaceae
Description: long non-coding RNA (BRAP_LNC001809)
Source: RNAcentral
UAAGCAACACAUAAACAAAAAAAAAUCGUUAUUUUGUUUUUUUUUUCUCGUUUUGAAUUUGUUUUUAUUUGUUUUCCAGUUGAGAGUACAAUAUUUACAAUAUAAUAGUUUUAUAGUUUCUAUUCUUCAGUGUUACUAGAUAGUCGAUGUGUGGGUGUGGUUUGUAUUUUAGGAUCCUGAUUGCAUAAAAAUAGUAACAACAAGCAGUUAGAGAACUAAG